Molecule: small RNA, 120 nt
Filed under: Streptomyces sp. CB02056
Lineage: Bacteria; Bacillati; Actinomycetota; Actinomycetes; Kitasatosporales; Streptomycetaceae
Description: Streptomyces-metH RNA
Rfam family: Streptomyces-metH RNA
Source: Rfam by way of RNAcentral
ACGCUCAGGAUACGGAAUGGAACGGCGGGCCGACCCGUGGGCCGGAUACCCUGGCCACGUGCGGGCCCGAGCAAGCGGGUCCGCAAAGCCGACAGCCGUCGCACCAGGGAGAAGCCCAUG